CGCGCUCGGGGCGGCACGGGAGCGCGGCCGGGGCUCGGGGCGUUCGCGGCGCGGCGCUGAGCAGAGAGACAGGCGGCGGCCGGGAAACGUGGAAAACCAGCUUGCCCACAACCAUCUCCUGUGUUCAGGAGCCCUGCCCGGAAACGCCCACCCUUGGAUCGGUGUGUCCACGACCCCUAUCCUGCUGGAUUGCACACAUUAAGGGUUAAAAGCAGGUGGCGCUCGCGCUGGACGUUUAAAAAUAAAGCCAGAUUUAUUGCCUGCUGUGAUGGUGACUUCACACCAAGACAAGAAUCCAGAAGAGUUCCGCCAACUGACCGGAACCGCCAUUGGGUCAGCUUUGCUGCUGUGAUCUAGUCAUAAUUUCUUGGAUAAUUCAAGCCUCGUUGAACCUGGUGAAGUAAAUUGCAAGAUAAAAUCUGUCGAGUUCCAGCUGUGUCCUGGCCUUUGGUUCAGCUUGAACCUCGUGGAAAGUCCUCCUCCGUUAGUUAUUGGGAAGACGGGUUAUCCGACCGGAGAGAGGAAAAGGGGGAUGAAUGAAUGAUCCAGUACGGUGAUAAAGAACAUAAGCUCUGGAACCAAGUGCCUGGAGUUUGGUUCUUGAACAUGUCACUUGCCAGCUGGAUGGCUUUGGACAAGCCAUUGAACUCUUUGAGCUCAGUUUCAUCUAUGAAUUGAAGGCUGAUGUGUUCCUCUCCCCACUCCACUCAAACAUCAAAUUAGUAACCUCCACAACUCAAGAUGUGGCUACAUUUGGAUAUAGCAUCUUUAAAGAAGCAAUUAAAACGAAGUCAUUAAAAAAACAAAACAAAACAAAAAACGAGGUCAUUAGAGUGGGCCCUAAUCCAGUAUGAAUGUCAUCUUUACAAGAAGGAAGUGGACACAGUCACAGAGAGAGAGAGAGAGGCAGAGACAUAGGCAGAGGGAGAAGCAGGCUCCAUGUACCAGGAGCCCGACGUGGGAUUCGAUCCCGGGUCUCCAGGAUUGCACCCUGGGCCAAAGGCAGGUGCUAAACCGCUGCGCCACCCAGGGAUCCCAAUCCUUUUUGAUUUUCAAUAUUGGAGUCUUCUGCAGAUAAUGACUGUUUGGUUUUUUCAUUUCCAAUAUACAGUGUGUGUGUGUGUGUGUGUGUGUGUGUGUGUGUGUGUGUGUGUCUGUGUCAGUGUCGGUGUUUUGUCUUUAACAGCAUUGGUCAAGAUAGGAUAGAGUGUAAUGGUGGAAAGGAAGUGUAAAAAUAUUAUUACUCAGUUCUGAAUUAUAGUUUCUGAGUUCUUCUUUGACCUAUGAAUUAUUUGGAGUUUAUUUUUACAAAAUAGUAACUGUAUAGACUUUUUUGCUUAUUUUUCAUUACUGAUUUCUAUUUUUAUGAUAGUGAGUUCAGGAAUUGGUCAUUAUUGGUUUUUUGUAUUUAUUAAAUCUUGCAUUAUAGCUUAGUGUAUGAUCAAUAUUCAUAAAUGUUCAAUCUGUCCUUGGAAAGAUGGUGUAUUCUCCAACUUUGUGAAUUUGUCAAUCUCUUCUUAUAAUUCUGUCAAUUUUGGGUUUAUAUGUUUGAGAUUAUGUAGUUAGGUUAAAAAGAGGUUCAGAAAUGUACCUUUGUGAGAAAAAUGUUCCUUUUAUUAUAGCCUCUUAUCUCUCUCUCUCUUUUUUUUUAAAAGACUUAUUUAUUCAGAGAGAGAGAGAGAGAGGCAGAGAGAGAAGCGGACUCCAUGCAGGGAGCCCAACGUGGGACUCGAUCCCUGGUCUACCAGGAUCACUGCAGACGGCGCUAAACCGCUGCACCACCAGGGCUGCCCUAGCCUCUUAUCUCUAAUGAUACUUUCUGCCUUUUAGUUUUUCCUGAUACUAAAAUAACUACACCAGCUUUCUUUUGGGUAAUAUUUGCCUAAUAAACCGUUUUCCCUCCCUCUGGUCUCAAUCUUUCAGGUGCUUCAGUUUGGGUGUGUUUCUCAUAAAUAUCAUUAAGGUACAUUUUUCUUAUUUCCACCUCAUCUGUGAUCUCUGCCUUCCAGUGGUAACUACUCUGUGUGCAGUUAAGGUAACUAUGGAUAUGUAUGUGUUCAUUUGUGUGACCUACUUUGUACUUUGUACUUAUUUUUUUUUUUAUUUAUUUGAUUUAAAAGCUCUUUUUAAAAAAUAUUUAUUUGAGAGAGAGAGUGAGAGAGAGAACAUGAGUGGUGUUGGGGAGGGACAGAAGCAUAGGGAGAAGCAGACUCCCCACCAAGCAGAAAGCCUGAUUCGAGGCUUGAUCCUAGGACCCAAAGAUCAUGACUUGAGCCCAAGGAAGACGGUUAAUUGACUGAAUCACCCGGGAAACUCCCCCCCCCCCCAAAUUCUUAUCUUUGGUUGGAUUGAUUGAGUUUUCAUUAUAUCCCUUCCUCCACUUCCACCUUAUCUUAAAGGUUUGAGGUUUUAUUCUCCCUCCAUAUUUAACAUUCAUUUUGACUUAUCUGAAAUUAAUUACUAUCUCUCAUUUAGUCUUGAAUAAUAUCAAAACCUUAAAAUGCUUUAAUCCAAACAUCCCUAUCUUUUUUUAAAAGAUUUUAUUUAUUUAUUUAUUCAUGAGAGGCACAGAGAGAGAAGCAGAGACAUAGGCAGAGGGAGAAGCAGACUCCCUGCAGAGAGUGCAAUGUGGGACUCCAUUCCUGGACUCUGGGAUCACGACCUGAGCCUAAGGCAGAUGCUUCACCGACUGAGCCACCCAGGCGCCCUGUGCUAUUGUUUUUAAAUAGUCAGCUCUGAUUUAGUUGCCACAUAGUUACCAAUUACUUUGUUCAACAGUUUUUCUUACAUUUCUCUCUUCCAAAUUUUUUUUUCUGAAAUAAAUCCUGUAGUAUUUCUUUCAGUGAAAAUCUUUAUAUAGUGGUAUUCUUUUAGUCUCUUAAGGAAAAAAAUAAACCCUCUUCUCUCCCUCAUCAUUGUACUGACAUUUAGCUGGAAAGGGAAUUCCAGAUGGACCUUUAUUAUCUCUCAACAGAAAAAUCCAAUUAUAUCCCUUUAUAGAGAGAUUACGGUGUGCCACAGCCAGUUAGUUAGCGGAAGAACUGAGCUCAAGCCCAUGCCCAUGUAGAACUACAACUUAGCUCUUAGCCAAAUCCUUUGUAUUUGGAUUCACCAAAUAAUACAUAAUUUGAAUAAUAACAAACUGUAUCUAUGUCAUGAUAACACAUAGGCAACAUUUAAAAUAAAAUAUCCAAUCCAGCUCAGUAAGUGUUUUUAGGAACUUCUCAUAUGCUAAGCAGUGUGGGGGCACCAAAGUAUCGGUUCUUUGGUAGAGAGAAGUGCAGUCCCGUUAGAGAAGUAGGAAGUGUCCAGUAGCUUUUAUUGCAUUGUGCUUUAGCAUCCUGGCCAGUGUUCUGGGCUUCCCGGUACUUGCAAGUAGAAAACACAUAAGAUCCUCUUUUUUUUCCCCGUUGGAAAGUAUUAUAUUUAGUGAAGUGAAGAUGUCAGUAUUCAUAAUAGAGAAGAGGUUGCAUAAGCCAAGACUGCCUUCAUGUUGAUAAAAAAAAAAAAAAAAAA
Molecule: long non-coding RNA, 3516 nt
Filed under: Canis lupus familiaris (dog)
Lineage: Eukaryota; Metazoa; Chordata; Mammalia; Carnivora; Canidae
Description: lncRNA (ENSCAFG00845011464.1)
Source: RNAcentral